UCAUGUGGUGUCAUAGAUACAUUAUGAAACCGGUAUUAGUUUAAAUAUUUUAAACCGGUUCAAAACCGGUUUUAAAACAUAUUAAAAAAUGAAAAACUUAAAAGAAAAGAAGUAAAAAAUGAUUCAGGAAAAGAAGUCCAAAAACUUAAUGUCACAGUGCCCUAAUUCUUCUCAUCGCUACAGAAAGCUUCUCCGCCACCAUCUCUGCACGCCACCAUCUCCGCCACCUUCCCGUGGCGUCGCCUCUAUCCCUCGCCGCACUCGUUACUUCCCCCGGCCGCUGCCGUGGAGUCCGAUUUCAAAAAUGAAUUCAGGAAAAGAAGUCAAAAAACGUAAUGUAACAGUGCCCUAACUUCUUCUCACUGCACAAAGCUUUUCCGCUACCAUCUCUGCGCGCCACCAUCUCCGCCACCUUCUAGCGGCGUCGCCUUCAUCCCUCGCCGCACUCAUUACUUCCCCCGCUGCCGUGAGGUCAGAUUUCGUAGGAAAGAUUUCAAAGUCAUAUUCGUCGCCCUUUUUAGUUCCACAGGUAUUUAUUUGUACUUCCUGCUCUUAAUGUUGUGCCUUGGAUUUUCUUUCUUUAGUGAAUGCCUCGCCCUGUAACUGUACUGCAUUUUCCAAUCUUUACUUGUCAAGUUUGAAUAUUUUGCCUUCCUCUAAUUCGCCCUAUGGUAGCAUUAGGUUUGUUGAGGGAAGUUUUGAAUAGUGUAAAUAGGUUUUAAGAUUGAUGAAAACUCAUAGCAGGUAUCCACGAAACAGAACAAUCGGCCUUGCUCUGCUGUGUUUCACCGCUGCUCUGGGUUUUCGGUCUGCCGUGCUUUGUUUGCAGCUCUCUCAGUCUUUCUCUGGUCUGCCGUGCUUCGUCGCCUCUGAGUCUAAGGUUAGUUUUGCUACUCUUGAAGUAUGUUGUUGUUGCUGCCCUUUCUAUCUAAGCGAGUGGAUAUGAUGUUGCUGCUUUGUAAUUGUUCUACCAUUUGAUGUUUCAAUUUCAUAUUCAUGAUAAGUCACCUGCUAAUUGUGAAGUGUAAGCGUGACAGAUUAUUAGCAUCAUAGCUUUGGCCUCAAAAGUAGAAGUGUUAUCUUUUAUUUUGUUUCUGCCCUCCCAGUUAACAUUAUCAUUGGUACAACUUUGUCACGCAAUAGGAUAAACACUGACCAAACUUCAUUAUAAAAUGUGAACUACCAUAUGCAGGAGUGAUUGACUGAUUGUUGUGUGCAUCCCACAUUGUAAGCCAUACUUCUACCUGCAUAUUUUAUGAAUGGAUGUGUUUUGUCUUAAGUUAUAAAAAAAAUUAGCUUUGUUUACUGAGUUAGGGAUGUUAACUAGUUAGGAGGCUUAUCGAGAGAUCUUUAUUCAUCUUGUUUUUAUUACCGACUUGCUAUAUAUAUUAUUUUAUUCACUACAACAAAGACUCUAAUAGAAAUCGCUAAAUAGAAACCGGUUUUUUCAAGUAUAAAAAAAUUAGCAAAGGAAUCUAGCAGAGAUGUGCUACUGCUGCUCCUAUCUAACACAGAAAUAUACUGUUACAUAAAAGAAUGUUAAAAGGUACUUUAAAAUCCUCUUAAAGUGAGUUAUGAAUAUUUCGGUGAAAAUUAAAAUUAAAUCAAGUAAUGCUAUAUGUAGGAAGUAAGAAUGCUACAGCCAAUUUUUAGCUAUUAAUUAGUCAAAUACUAUAUCUCUUUUCUAGCUAUUAAUUAGUCAAAUAGUAGUAACUUGUAUAUGUUGUUGUUUUUUCACCAAUUUUUAACUCUCUUAACACUAACUUUUACAGUUUGUUUGGCUUUUAUUACUUUGGUGUUAACUCUGCAUGCAGCUACUGUUUUGUGCUUGCUACUAUCAUUGUUGCUUUAACUAAAUGUGGUCGUUAGUACAAUCUAAGUAUGGAAAGGCAAAACAAAAAUCGACUACUUAUCCUUGUGCGUGUGAUAAGCCAAAUUGACAUAAUGUUGUAUGUGGUUGUGUGGUUCACUUGCAAAUGAAGCCUAAUGGAAUUAGUGAUUUAUGUUUCUGAUAUGAAACUGGAAAAUCUCAUUCUAUGGUAACAUGUUGCAUUUAAUUUUCUAUUUCAAAACAAUUCAAGUUAAAGAGUACACAUACAAUAAUUUAUGAAACAAAAGCUCUUAUUGAUGGAAUACGUUUUGCUUUGGAGUGUCUCUUAAGUAAUUAGAAAUGCUUGAUAUGUCCAACAUUCUUGCUUCUGAUACAAUAAUUAUCUUCAUUUGUAUCUUGGAAGAUCAUCAAUAGCAGCGUGGUUUCUCAAGUAAUAAAGAUAGUGUAUUUGUUUAGUAUCUAAGAUCUACAAUGGUAAAUGGGAGGUCACAGUUGGUGAUUUUACGCUGCUCACAAUAUUUUUCUGAUACAUAUGUACAUGGAGCUGAAGCAUUAAAUUUCUCCAUCUGUAAGAACAUGCUUGCUUUGUUUGUGUUUUGCAGGUAACUUGGAUGCAAAGCUAACUUGGAUGCAAAGAGGAAAGAAGACCAUAUUUAGUUAUUGAAAAAUUGAGGCUUCAAGAACAUUUGAUUUUGAAAGUUGAUAUUAGAUUUUGUCUUCCUAGAAACUUGAUAUUAGACUUUCUUUUGUUAUAUUGAUAGUUGAAACUUAGGGGGGUGUAUUCGUUGUGGAUUUCCACGGAUUUUAAAAAGUCCAUGGAUUUUAAAUUCCAUGGAAUUCACAUAGAUUCCAGACGACUUUCGAAGAAUUCGUGGUUGGAUUUCACCCCGAUUUUCACAGAUUUUCGAAGAAUUUGGGGGAUAAUUCUUGAAUUGAAAUCCAGGAUGCUAACGUACGCUGAAACCCAGCACCGCUGGAAACCCAGCGAGCGCUGGGAAUCCAGCGAGCGCUGGGACCAAAUAAAUGCUAUAUAAAGGGCCAGCGAGCGCUGGUGCCCUAAAUUCAUUCUACUUCUCCAGCGCCGCUCCAGAACACUCGCCCUCCCAAAAAAUCACCUUCAACUACAAUUUUUCCAUACCACUACUCUCUAAAAUCACCUUCAACACUACAAUGGUCCGAACGAAGAACGUAAACGUCGGUAGAGGGGAGCUUACUUUGAGCCAAAGGUAUGAAUGUCCAUUUGAAUUGCAAAGCGAAUUAGAAGGAGAAAUAUUUAAGAAAUUUAACGAGAACUAUAUUACUCCUCCGCAUUACUUGGAUUGGGAGUUGAUUACUGAUUUGAAUCUUGAGGAACAAGUUGAGUUGUAUUUGCAACAUCUAGGGAUGAAAGAAUAUGCUAAAAAUAUUGCUUUUUCUGGGUAUGAUCCUUUAUGUUAUGAGUUCAUGACUACUGUGGAAAUGGCUGGUGAUAUGAAAUGGAUUAAAGCUAGGAUGUAUGAGCGAGAGUAUCGCAUUAGUUUGGCUAGAAUGAAAGCUGUUUUUGGUUUCAGUAUUGGUGGAUUAUCUGAUAAAACUCGGGGAUGGAAUGUUAAUCAAGCGUGGAAUCGAUUGACUGACGUUGAUAAUUGGGAUAGUUCGGGUAUGCCUAGUGGGUACAUUAAGGAUCCGGCAUUAGCUAUUGUUCAUAAAUUUCUUGCAUAUAAUGUGUCUGGAAAGGAGCAGGCGAAUAAGGUUAAUGCAACUGAGGUAUUUUUGCUGGAGUGUGCUUUAGAUGGCACAAAAGUGUGCAUCUCAAAGUUUAUUUGGGCUGCUAUGAUUCGGGCGAAGAAGCGCCCUACUGCCCAUGCUUCUUUCGCUGCUAUUAUCACUGNUCCACCCUCUGUAGCUAUAGUAUAGUAACCAGCCAUGCCAAAGGUACACCUAGUAGGUCAUUCAGCCACCCUAGGACUACUCUAUUCUUCAGCCAACGACUUCACUCUUAUAUUUCAAGGAGAAGAUUUCUCUUUCUUCCCUUAGAGCAUCUAUAACGCUUACACGAUAGAGCUUACACGAUAGCCCUAUCGUGUAAAAGCUCUAUCGUGUAACCGUUGCAGACGAAGGUUACACGAGGGCUACACGUUCUAUCGUGUAGCCCAAUUUCUCGAUAGUGUAAAGCGCGUGCAAUGCACGCGCCUAUUUAAAAAAAAAAAAUUACUUGACUUCCCCUCGGUUGGCGUGUUUAUUCGACCGUUCAAAAAUUUUUUUUUCCUUUCUUUUCUUCUAUUUAUUCUUCUUCUUCCUCAUUUUUUUCCCUACGCCUCACUCUUCUUCUUCAUCUUCUUCAUUCUUCCUCUCUCUACACCCCAUGGAUCCAAACAACCCAAAUUACUAUGAUCUAAAUUGGUGUCCCGAUCUAUCCGACGAAUAUCAUCCCGAUUUAUCGGGAUGUAACUUGGGGGAUGCUCCUCAGGCCGGCGAGGAGAUGCCUUCGGCCCAUAGUGCCGCCAAACCGAAGAAAGGCAGCCGAAGGAAAGAAGUCGCCCACAAGAUCCGACAUGACAGGCCGGCGUCGGUGGCGGAGGAGGAGGGGGCGGAGGAUGACGGAGGUAAGACUAUCCGUCAUACCUACACCACUGAGGAGACGGACAUCAUCGUCCAAAUUUGGAUGGAGGAGACAAACGACGCCAUCCGUGGGACAAAUCAAAAGGGGUUCGAGUACUGGAAGAGGAUCGUCGCCCGUGUCAACCCCCUCAUCGGCGCCCACCUCAAAGUUCGUCAGAUUCAAGGGCACUGGACCCGAGUGGCCCAAGAGGUGCGGUUGUGGGAAAGUAUUUGGGUGGAGGCGCGCAGCAAGUGGCCGUCCGGCCAUUCUGACGAUAUGCUCCGGGACAAGGCCCAAACUCUUUUCAAAAGUCGGAGCGCAAAUAACGCCUCCUUCAACUACUGGAAUGCGUGGAGAAUUCUCCGGAACAACCACAAGUUCAAGUCGAUGUACCUCGAGGGAGACGUGCAUUCCUCCAAGAGGACAAAGACGACAGAGGAGGGCGCCUUCACCACCUCGGCGUCAGGCGAGGAGAUCUCGUCUGCCCGGCCGAUUGGGAACAAGGCGGCGAAGGCGGCGGCAAGGGCGGCGAAAGCGAAGGGGAAGGGGAAGGCGACGGCAAGCUCCGAGCAGUCAUCGGAGUACAAAGAGACAUUGGAUCGGUCCGAUCAGAACUUGAAAAAUAUCACGACCGAAUAUGCCAAAAAGAACGAGCUCAAGGAGAGGGAGCUCGACAUGCAACUCCUCAGUCUGGAUACAUCGCAUAUGAGCGAUGUACAGAAGAUGGCCCACGAGCACAUGGUACAAGAAAUGCUCAAGCGUCGUGGCUUUAUCUAGACUAGGAGUUUAAUUUAUGUAAUUUAAUUAUUGUUUUAUUUUUUUUAAUUGUAUUUUAGGUUUUUUAUUUGAAUGAAAUUUUAAUUAUUAGUCAAAGGUGUUAUUUAAAUUUGAGCAAUUAAAUUUAAGUAAAAAGCAUAAAAAUGGAAACUAAUUCUAUCAUGUAAGCUAUCAUGUAACCCCACUGCAGCAUCUUUACACCAUGUGGUCCCCCAUCAUAAAGUAGGCUAUCAUGUAAGCUAUCAUGUAACCCCAUUGCGGAUGCUCUUAUACUCUUAACACGCCACAUUGAGAAAGGGAGGAAGUUUCCUUCAACUCCAGCCUUGACUCCAAAGAGGUAAAUUUUUAGCUUGAACUCCUCCAUUCUUCCAUAGUUCACCUGCAUUUGUUAAAGGAAUCAUCUUUAUUUCAGUUCUUCUCCUACUGAGAUCAACAACAGCAACCACCAACACAUAACAUUUGCAAGGUAUUUACUAAGCUCAGCUAGUUCAAAUACAAUUUGCAUUUCAUCCAACAAACAUGAUUAGUUAAAGGAUACAAAGUUUACAAUGAGUGUAUAUGCUCAAGGGAACUUAGCAUAAUUACAGAAACUAUUUAUUUUAUUCACAUGAGAUAAAGGCAAUGAGAAAACUAUCAUGAAUCAGUAGCGAAACCAAGACUCCACAUAGACUUUAGUUUUGAACUUAGCAUUUAGAAGGGGAGGGAGGCUAAUUCGAGGUACCUGUUUCUUUUAAAUGGGGACGGUUGAAGCUGGCUGACCGCGAGGAGAAGGAGAGGGGCAAUCGCCCAAUUCCGCUGAACCGAAGAGGGCCAGCGGGGACAGAGUUUUGCUGCUCGCCGGAGGAGGUCAGAGAAGAACCCCGACGACGACCGCAACUCGCUGAGCCAACGCGACGACGCGGCGACCUUCGCUGAUUCCAGAGCAACAGUCGCAGCGACAACUUUCACUAAGGAGAAAAUAGGUGGCGGCUUCGGCUUCGCUUCCUGGGAGAGAAGGGGACGACGAUGGCCUCGCCGGACCUCAGAAACAGCGGCAGCAACGCCCCAGUUCGCCAGUUUCUCCAUCAGCGGCGGCGGUGAUUCUUUAAUGGAGAUGUAAGGGCACAGCCUUGCCUUUGCUGUGCGAAGAAGGGAGAGAGAGCAGAGCCGAUGAAGGCGUCGGCUUCGCCGGACUGCAGGUUGUGGCAGCUUUGAUAGAGGAACUAGGGCUCGAUUUUAAAAGAAGUGCCUACCUUAAUUUUCAGCGAGGGUAGAAAUGAUGGGGAACGGCGCAGAGAUUUGCCGGAUUCUGGAGGCAAGAUGCGGCCUUGCCGAAUUUCAGAAGGGCCGACGACGGGCCUCAGAAACGGCAGCAGCAGCAGCUCUCUCAAAGGAAGAGAGAAAUCGCGAGAGAGAGAUUGAGAAGAGAACCGUUCAAGAGGAAGAAGGGAAUGGGCUUUUUCUUAUUUUUGUAAUUUGGGCCUCUCCUUGGGCUGUUUUAUGUUGGGCCUUUUUAUUUAUUUAGGAUGAUAUUAUUAUUUUCUUUCAUAUUUUAUUAAGUCCAAUUAGAUACCAGAUCUAUGAUCGAUUAAUUAGACUUAGUUAUUUCUAAUUAUGGAUUAAUUUAGGAGAUUAUUCAGCUAUUAAUUGGAUCGAGCUACUUCCUUUUAAUUGAUUAAAUAGAGGAGAUCUAUUUAAUUACAUAGCGGGUUAGAAUACCAUAAAAUGAAUGGACUAAGAGCAUCCACAGCAGAUCUCUCAAAAUUUUACUCCUAAAAAUACUCCUAAAGUCUUCCCUAAAUUAUUUUUAACCUCUAUUUUACACUUGCACGCAGUAGCUCUCCUAUUUUUCAUUAUCUAAUUUGAUAAAUUUAGGAUUAGAUUUAAGAGGGGUGUAAAUUUAAGAUUAAAUUUGAGGGGGUGCCAAAAUUUUUUGGGUCGAAAUUUAAUCUACCCACUCUUAUAAUCUAUCUUACAAAACUACCCACAUUACCCAAAAACAAAAGUGAUGGUGAUAGGCAUGCUUGGUGUUUUGUAAAAGUUCUUACACAAUGUCAGAAAGAUGCCAUAAAUGCCAACUCACGUCACUUUCCUGCAUUAAUAUAUACUGUAGGUUGAAAAAUUGAAAAAAAUUAGGGGACGUUUGUGUGUUAGAAAUAUUAUUACGAAGGUACAAAAAUUCACGAUUAUGUGUAUUAUGAAGGAAAUAUUUAUUUUGAAGCGAAUGGCAUAACUAGCCGCUAGAAAUUCUUAGCCGGCAGCACUAGCCGCAGAACUUUUUUACCGGCGGCUAGUGCUUACGGCUACGAAUUUCUGGCGGCUAGUUACGAAUUGAGAAUCAAAAAAAGGUUCUGAAACUAAUGGGUCAACUAGCCGCCAGUAAAUCCUAGCCGCUAACACUAGCCGCCGGAGAAAACACCGGCGGCUAGUGCUAGCGGCUAGGGUUUACUGGCGGCUAGUUGACCCAUUAGGUUCAGAAAUGUUUUGUUAUUACAUAUAUGUUUAAAUUGGAAUUUUUCAGCCCUCGUAUUACUGUUUUAUUAAAUUUUGUGCAUUUUUAACUACCUAUCUUACACAUUUUCUUACACAAUUGUACUUGUGUAAGAACUUUUACAAAAAACCAAGCAUGCCUAUCAUGCCUAUCACCAUCACUUUUUUCUUUUGGGUAGUGUGGGUAGUUUUGUAAGAUAGAUUAUAAGAGUGGGUAGAUUUCCCUAUUCACAGAAAUUUUUUUGUGGGCCCAACUUAAUAUAGGUGAUCUGUUGGAUGAUAAUUUUAUCUCACUUUUUAUUAUUUUAGUUCAAAUUUAAAGUUAAGAUUACUUUUGAGAGAUCUGCUGUGGAUGCUCUAAUUACAGUUAUUUAUCCGAUCUCAUAACAAGCCUUAAUUCUAUAGUUGGAUUAUUAUUAACGGAAUAUGAAUCAUGCAUAGUUAAUUUAUGCAUUCUCAUUUAUUUGAGAAUUUUUCUCGAGCUAAAGUCUUACCUUAUAUUCUCGGAUUAAAGGUUAAGCACAAGACUAAGAGCUUCAAAGAGUCACCGAACUGUAGCAAAGCUUUGCUAUCAGGUGGGUUUAUUUUCAUAUAUAUCAAAUGAGUUUAAUGUUACAUUUGAACAAGUUAUUUCGUUACAAAAUCUUUGAACUGAAUUAUUUCAACUGUUGUCUUGCCAUAAAUAUUUCAAUUGUAGUGUGAUAUCUAUCUGAUGUGGCUUUGCCAGUUAUGUAAUCGAAUUCGGGUCCUGAGCAGUUGAUAACUAUCCUGCCAGGGCUAGUGUACAUGUGUGACCGUGAAUCAUCGAGCGGGUUGGCCGGUCAGGUGUCCGUUGAGAGGUGGCCACCUUUCCGACACGCAGUUCCAGAUAUAAUAGAUUAUGAGAGAACUUAGACUACAGUCAAACUUUAAGAAUUACAAAUGAAUUUAGUAAGCUUGAGCUUUUUUAGCGAAAAACUCCGUUGUUGUACUGGUUAUGAUGGCAUGACAAUUUAUAAUUUUACGAAGCAUGUUUAUAUUUAUACUUAGGCAUACGUGCCCACUGAAUACUUUUGUACUCAGCCCUGCAUAUAUUUCUAAAUGUGCAGGUUGAGCAGUGGCUGAUGGAGAUGAAGUGGGGAGCGGAGCUUUUGUACGUAAAUUGAAUGAAUAAACUCUUGGAUACAUGUCUUCACACAUGUAAUCAGUAUUGUUAUUCCGCUGCGUACUCUUAAGUAAUAUGCCUUUUGAAUCAAAUCUUCAUCCGAACUUAGUGGUUUACUUAAGUCUUUGUGACUAAACAUCAGUUAUCUUAUGAAUUCCAUCUUCUUUAGCAAUGAUUUGAAUUUGAUCCCCAUUAAUUUUUCACUCCCUUUCUAUUCCCGCUUCUAACCUCCCUCAUUUAGUCACCUUUUCCCGGCUUAGUUAUCCUUAAUUGAGUCCGAUCGUGACAUAAUGUGCGCCUACGAGGAUCUAAGGAUUACUUUUGAAAAUAUCCUCAUAGAAAACAAAGGUUGGAAAUGGCCAUUGCCAUGAUUGCAUCCAGGGCAAAUGAAAUUUCUACACUUGUCGCUGAUGAAGAUGGACUGGAAGAAUUGAUUCAAGAGAAUACCAGAUUGGAGGAUUUGAUGUAGACACUUCAGAUAAAGAAAAUCAAACUCAUACAAGGAUUUUAAGAGAAACUGAAGCUAGAUCUGAUUCAAUCAAAAAGAGAUCUUGAUGAAACCUUAUUGUCAAGAGCAAAAAUGAAGAAAUGACAGUGGGUUGAGUUCUGGAUAGAAAACGACACUCUAAUGAACGCUUUCCUGUCUCCAUCACCAGAGGAAAGUGAUGAAGGAAAAUCAACUGAAGAAGAUAAGGGAAAAUGAGUUCUGGUCGAGGAUACAAUUGAUAAUUCCGAUAGUAACUUACCAGAAACAUCCAAAGAUAAUGUAUCUGGAUCUCAUCAGUCGCAGAAUAGACAACAUCAGUCUAUGACUCAACUAGUUCAAUCAAGAGGUUAUCAGUCAGAUGCUACUCCGUUAUGUCAAGGGGGACACAAUGUUGACAACAUAAGAACUACUGUUUAUGCAUGGCCUAACUUUGAAGAGAAUGAGAUAUAUACGAAGACAGAAGCUGAGCCAAGAGAAACAUUUGUACCGACUAAAGAAGCCUCAUCUUCAGUUGGAAGACCAGUCAACAACAGAGAAAAUUCACCUCAACGAAUGGUGAAACAGAUUCAAGAUCCUGAGGAAACUUCAGAUAACAAUCAAGGACCCAAUCAAUGACUGGGUAUCCAAAGCUCUUNAAACAUCAACAAAAAACAAAAAUCAACUCACAUGCAAUAGAAACACAGCAUACAGUUGCUAAUAAUUUAUAAAGGUACAAUAUUCAUGCUAUAGAAAAAUUGCAUAAUUAAAAUACUAUGAAGAUAUAAAAUUUAUGAAAAAAUACCUUGCUAAAAGGUAAAGUAGAACCCUGAACUCUUUUUUGAAGGCGUGGUAGGCGUCUGGCGAAUGUGAGGAGAAAACCAUCGAAGAUGGGUAUUUAAAAGCGUUGCUGGGCUGGGCUGACUGGGCCCAGCGACCGCUGCAACCCAGCGGCCGCUGGGAACCCAGCGCACGCUCAAAUCCAGCGAGCGCUGGCCUUUCUCAGCGUGUGCUGAGUUCUGGCGCUCGCUGGCUUCUUGGCCGCGAGUGCUGGAACUCAGUGCACGCUCAAAACGCCAUGGAUUUCAAUUCUUGUGUUUCUUGGCCGGAUUUCGUCGUGUGUAUUUUUUGGAUGAAAUCCAUGAAAGUCAUUCCGGAUUUGAAUUCAAUGGAAUAACGAAUACACCUAGAUUUGUAUGGAUUUUAAAAAGUCUGAAACGAAUACACCCAGAUUUAUAUGGACUUUUAAAAGUCUGGAACGAAUACACCCAGAUUUCUGCAGACUUUUAAAAGUCUGGAACGAAUACACCCAGACUUUUAAAAUCCGUGGAAAUCUAUUAAACUCCACAACUAAUACACCCCCGUUAGUGCGAGACAUUGGAGAUGAUUGUAACGUACAUUGGUGCUAAUUGAUUGUGUAAUUC
Molecule: long non-coding RNA, 10689 nt
Filed under: Salvia miltiorrhiza (redroot sage)
Lineage: Eukaryota; Viridiplantae; Streptophyta; Magnoliopsida; Lamiales; Lamiaceae
Description: long non-coding RNA (SMIL_LNC001885)
Source: RNAcentral